CUGGAAUGAGCCCUUGUCUAAAGUAUCGAUCUUGGACUGCCGGUCUCAUAGGUGGCUCGAGGGUCCAAGUAUGCGGGUGGAACGGUAUUGGUCAGCAGCUAAUGUUCUUGAUGACAAGAUAUAUGUAGCAGGAGGCUGUGAUGACAACGGUCCCUCCAAGUGGAUGGAGGUUUUCGAUCCAAAAACCCAAACUUGGGAGACUAUGUUGAACCCUCUCAGGGAGAGAUGUGAUAAUCUUGUAUCAAAGAGUGCGGUGAUUGACGAUGAG
This 268-nucleotide long non-coding RNA is filed under the name Capsella rubella. Its description in RNAcentral is "long non-coding RNA (CRUB_LNC000965)". The record is from RNAcentral. Lineage: Eukaryota; Viridiplantae; Streptophyta; Magnoliopsida; Brassicales; Brassicaceae.